GCUAAAUUGUCUCAGUCAGUAGAGCAUGAGACUCUUAAUCUCAGAGUCGUGGGUUUGAGCUUCACGUUAGGCA
RNAcentral lists this transfer RNA (73 nucleotides) under Sarcophilus harrisii (Tasmanian devil). It matches the Rfam family "tRNA". From Rfam's summary of the family: Transfer RNA (tRNA) molecules are approximately 80 nucleotides in length. Their secondary structure includes four short double-helical elements and three loops (D, anti-codon, and T loops). The record is from Rfam by way of RNAcentral. Lineage: Eukaryota; Metazoa; Chordata; Mammalia; Dasyuromorphia; Dasyuridae.